This 426-nucleotide unclassified non-coding RNA is filed under the name Hevea brasiliensis (rubber tree). The record is from RNAcentral. Lineage: Eukaryota; Viridiplantae; Streptophyta; Magnoliopsida; Malpighiales; Euphorbiaceae.
AAUCAGUAUCAGGAACAACUAGCAGCAUUGCGAGCCCGACAUGCCAGCCGUAGAGGUGAGUUCCUCCGCAAGGAGUCACAUGCACGACAACAACAAUAUCAACAAAACAUGGUGGACCGUUAUCCCAGCAGUGGCAUGGGCCCUGGUGAUCCUCAUGGUUACAGUGGAGUUGCAUCCUCAGCUGUUAUCAAUGAAGCUCACCGAGCCUAUAACACUGAUAAUUUUGAAUCAUACAGGGAACGGGCUCGAUUUCUUGGGGGUUCCAGGGAUCAAGGAUUUGAGACUAGAAGUCCAUAUCAUGGGGGCCGUGUUUACGAUACUGGCACACGCUACUACUAGUAGAUUUGGUUAGUUUAGUUUUACUUAGCUGCUACUCCCGCUUUGCUGUUUUCUAGUAAUGCUUCCCCUCGCUUAUGCAUGAAAUCC